GCCGAAAUAGCUCAGUUGGGAGAGCGUUAGACUGAAGAUCUAAACGUUCCUGGUUCGAUCCCGGGUUUCGGCA
This 73-nucleotide transfer RNA is filed under the name Daphnia magna. It matches the Rfam family "tRNA". From Rfam's summary of the family: Transfer RNA (tRNA) molecules are approximately 80 nucleotides in length. Their secondary structure includes four short double-helical elements and three loops (D, anti-codon, and T loops). Further hydrogen bonds mediate the characteristic L-shaped molecular structure. tRNAs have two regions of fundamental functional importance: the anti-codon, which is responsible for specific mRNA codon recognition, and the 3' end, to which the tRNAs corresponding amino acid is attached (by aminoacyl-tRNA synthetases). tRNAs cope with the degeneracy of the genetic code in two manners: having more than one tRNA (with a specific anti-codon) for a particular amino acid; and 'wobble' base-pairing, i.e. permitting non-standard base-pairing at the 3rd anti-codon position. Lineage: Eukaryota; Metazoa; Arthropoda; Branchiopoda; Diplostraca; Daphniidae. The record is from Rfam by way of RNAcentral.